CAGCAGCCGCGGUAAUACGAAGGGGGCUAGCGUUGCUCGGAAUGACUGGGCGUAAAGGGCGCGUAGGCGGUUUGUACAGUUGGAUGUGAAAUUCCUGGGCUUAACCUGGGGGCUGCAUUCAAUACGUGCAGGCUUGAGUGGGGAAGAGGGUCGUGGAAUUCCCAGUGUAGAGGUGAAAUUCGUAGAUAUUGGGAAGAACACCGGUGGCGAAGGCGGCGACCUGGUCCUUGACUGACGCUGAGGCGCGAAAGCGUGGGGAGCAAGCAGGAUUAGAUACCCCCGUAGUCCCUGUCUCUUAUAC
Molecule: ribosomal RNA, 301 nt
Filed under: uncultured bacterium
Lineage: Bacteria
Description: partial 16S ribosomal RNA
Rfam family: Bacterial small subunit ribosomal RNA
Source: RNAcentral